UACGUAGGUGGCGAGCGUUGUUCGGAUUUAUUGGGCGUAAAGGGUCCGCAGGGGUUUGGUCUAAGUCUGAUGUGAAAUACCCGGACGCUCAACUCCGGAACUGCAUUGGAAACUAGGCGGACUAGAGUAUCGGAGAGGUAAGCGGAAUUUCUGGUGUAGCGGUGGAAUGCGUAGAUAUCAGAAAGAACACCGAGAGCGAAGGCAGCUUACUAGACGAUUACUGACCCUCAGGGACGAAAGCGUGGGUAGCAAACAGGAUUAGAUACCCGCGUAGU
RNAcentral lists this ribosomal RNA (275 nucleotides) under uncultured bacterium. RNAcentral's name for it is "partial 16S ribosomal RNA". It matches the Rfam family "Bacterial small subunit ribosomal RNA", at positions 524 to 794 of the family's 1533-position model. The record is from RNAcentral.